RNAcentral lists this ribosomal RNA (490 nucleotides) under uncultured bacterium. Its description in RNAcentral is "partial 16S ribosomal RNA". It matches the Rfam family "Bacterial small subunit ribosomal RNA", at positions 30 to 507 of the family's 1533-position model. The record is from RNAcentral.
AUUGAACGCUGGCGGCAGGCCUAACACAUGCAAGUCGAACGGUAACAGAAAGCAGCUUGCUGCUUUGCUGACGAGUGGCGGACGGGUGAGUAAUGUCUGGGAAACUGCCUGAUGGAGGGGGAUAACUACUGGAAACGGUAGCUAAUACCGCAUAACGUCGCAAGACCAAAGAGGGGGACCUUCGGGCCUCUUGCCAUCGGAUGUGCCCAGAUGGGAUUAGCUAGUAGGUGGGGUAAAGGCUCACCUAGGCGACGAUCCCUAGCUGGUCUGAGAGGAUGACCAGCCACACUGGAACUGAGACACGGUCCAGACUCCUACGGGAGGCAGCAGUGGGGAAUAUUGCACAAAGGGCGCAAGCCUGAUGCAGCCAUGCCGCGUGUAUGAAGAAGGCCUUCGGGUUGUAGAGUACUUUCAGCGGGGAGGAAGGGAGUAAAGUUAAUACCUUUGCUCAUUGACGUUACCCGCAGAAGAAGCACCGGCUAACUCCGUG